This 593-nucleotide long non-coding RNA is filed under the name Pan troglodytes (chimpanzee). RNAcentral describes it as "lincRNA". The record is from RNAcentral. Lineage: Eukaryota; Metazoa; Chordata; Mammalia; Primates; Hominidae.
GGCCAGGCAGAAGCAGCAUGGGUUUCCACUCACACGAUUUAUCUACUGCUUGUGAAAUCUCUGGAUUUAACUCUGAUGAAAGACCGGAGGCUGAAGGAGAACUUCACUAUCAUAUAUUUUAAAGGUUGACUCACAGUUUGGAGCACGAAUUAAAGAACCACGAACUUCAAGUCUGGAUGAAGUGCUUCAUGCCUGUAAUCCAAGCACUUUGAGAGGCUGAGGUGGGUGGAUGGCUUGAGCCCAGGAGUUUGAGACCAGCCUGGAAAACAUAGGGAAACCCUGUCUCAAUAUAAGAAGAAGAAGAAAAAGAAAAAAAAAAAUCAAAAACGAAAACAACACAAAUUUUAGAGUGAUGUAAAAUUCUCAAACAAUGAGAUAGAUAAAAAGUACGCAGCCAAAAAGUGCAGGAAGAAGUGUUAUGGAGAUGGAGCAGGCCCUUCGUAAAAACACGAUGUUGGUUUUCUGGAUUUUGGAGGCCUCACAAAACCUGGAUCAGACUCGCCCGCUGCCCUGUGUCUGCCCUCCCGACCCCCUCUCCUGCCCAGCAGGGAUGUGGGUGGCAGUGGUGCUGUGUGGAGGGUGGCGGGAGGACC